RNAcentral lists this ribosomal RNA (1247 nucleotides) under metagenome. RNAcentral's name for it is "bacterial LSU rRNA". It matches the Rfam family "Bacterial large subunit ribosomal RNA", at positions 1564 to 2820 of the family's 2925-position model. The record is from RNAcentral.
UGAAUACGAGACGCUAAGGCGUCGAAGUAGUGUAUGUCAUACUUCCAAGAAAAGCUUGCACUGUCAUAGAUAAAAAACGCCUGUACCAUAACCGACACAGGUGGGUAGGUAGAGUAUACUAAGGGGCGCGAGAUAACUCUCUCUAAGGAACUCGGCAAAAUAACUCCGUAACUUCGGGAGAAGGAGUGCCUUAUUCGUAAGGUUGCAAUAACAAGAUCCAAGCAACUGUUUAUCAAAAACACAGGUCUCCGCUAAGUCGUAAGACGAUGUAUGGGGGCUGACGCCUGCCCAGUGCCAGAAGGUUAAAGAAGUUGGUUAGCAAUUGCGAAGCUGAUAACUGAAGCCCUGGUGAACGGCGGCCGUAACCAUAACGGUCCUAAGGUAGCGAAAUUCCUUGUCGGGUAAGUUCCGACCCGCACGAAAGGCGUAAUGAUUUGGAUACUGUCUCGGAGAGGGGCUCGGUGAAAUAGACUUGUCUGUGAAGAUGCGGACUACCUGCACCAGGACAGAAAGACCCUAUGAAGCUUUACUGUAACUUGAAAUUGAAAUUGGACUUUAUUCGCGCAGUAUAGGUGGGAGGCGUUGAUUAUAAUCUUGUGGGAUUAUUGGAGCCAUCAGUGAGAUACCACUCUUGUAAUGUUAGAUUUCUAACUUUGAAUCAUUAUCUGGUCAAAGAACAGUUUCAGGCGGGCAGUUUGACCGGGGCGGUCGCCUCCUAAACGGUAACGGAGGCGUACAAAGGUUUCCUCUGAACGGUUAGAAAUCGUAUCUAGAGUGUAAAGGCAUAAGGAAGCUUGUCUGUGAGACCUACAAGUCGAGCAGGGACGAAAGUCGGUCUUAGUGAUCUGACGGUACUGAGUGGAAAGGCCGUCACUCAACGGAUAAAAGUUACUCUAAGGAUAACAGGCUGAUCUCCCCCAAGAGUUCACAUCGACGGGGAGGUUUGGCACCUCGAUGUCGGCUCAUCGCAUCCUGGGGCGGUAGUACGUCCCAAGGGUUGGGCUGUUCGCCCAUGAAAGCGGUACGCGAGCUGGGUUCAGAACGUCGUGAGACAGUUCGGUCCAUAUCCGGUGUAGGCGUUAGAAUAUUGAGAGGAGCCUUCUUUAGUACGAGAGGACCGAGAAGGACAUACCUCUGGUGUACCAGUUAUCGUGCCAACGGUAAACGCUGGGUAGCUAUGUAUGGAGUGGAUAACCGCUGAAAGCAUCUAAGUGGGAAGCCCACCUCAAGAUAAGUAUUCUCAUCAU